Molecule: non-coding RNA, 480 nt
Organism: Scophthalmus maximus (turbot)
Lineage: Eukaryota; Metazoa; Chordata; Actinopteri; Pleuronectiformes; Scophthalmidae
Source: the annotation of a RefSeq genome assembly
CAGUUCACUGACUCUGUGUGUUUUGCAUACGGGUCCUGCCUCUCUGCUCCCGGCCGUUAAGAGGCCAGUGUUGAUCAGUGGCUGUCCAGGUCUUUCACAGCCACAGCCAUGAAGUGUGUGAAUAUCCUGCUGGCCACGCUGGGGCUCCUUGUUCAGGGUUCAUCAGGAGAAAUCGUCCUGACUCAGACUCCUGGAUCUCAGUCUGUUGUUCCAGGACAGACUGUCUCUAUCAGGUGUAAAGCCAGCACACUUAUAGGUGAUGACAUGAACUGGUACCUGCAGAAACCUGGAGAAGCUCCUAAACUCCUGAUUUAUGAUACUACAGCACGUCAGUCUGGAGUUCCAGAUCGUUUUAGUGCGACUGCACAUCAGACUGACUUCACGUUGACCAUCAGAGCGGUUCAGACUGAAGAUGGAGGAGUUUAUCACUGUCAGCAGCACAACAGCUUCCCGUUCACACAGUGAUACAACGUCGUACAA